RNAcentral lists this ribosomal RNA (253 nucleotides) under uncultured archaeon. RNAcentral describes it as "partial 16S ribosomal RNA". It matches the Rfam family "Archaeal small subunit ribosomal RNA", at positions 475 to 726 of the family's 1478-position model. The record is from RNAcentral.
ACCGGCAGCUCAAGUGGUAGCCGCUUUUAUUGGGCCUAAAGCGUCCGUAGCCGGUCUGAUAAGUCUCUGGUGAAAUCCCACAGCUUAACUGUGGGAAUUGCUGGAGAUACUAUCAUGACUCGAGGUCGGGAGAGGCUGGAGGUACUCCCAGGGUAGGGGUGAAAUCCUGUAAUCCUGGGAGGACCACCUGUGGCGAAGGCGUCCAGCUGGAACGAACCUGACGGUGAGGGACGAAAGCCAGGGGCGCGAACCG